Molecule: ribosomal RNA, 433 nt
Filed under: uncultured bacterium
Lineage: Bacteria
Description: partial 16S ribosomal RNA
Rfam family: Bacterial small subunit ribosomal RNA
Source: RNAcentral
AACGAACGCUGGCGGCAUGCCUAACACAUGCAAGUCGAACGAAGCCUUCGGGCUUAGUGGCGCACGGGUGCGUAACGCGUGGGAAUCUGCCCCUUGCUUCGGAAUAACAGUUAGAAAUGACUGCUAAUACCGGAUGAAGUCUUCGGACCAAAGAUUUAUCGGCAAGGGAUGAGCCCGCGUAGGAUUAGGUAGUUGGUGGGGUAAAGGCCUACCAAGCCGACGAUCCUUAGCUGGUCUGAGAGGAUGAUCAGCCACACUGGGACUGAGACACGGCCCAGACUCCUACGGGAGGCAGCAGUGGGGAAUAUUGGACAAUGGACGCAAGUCUGAUCCAGCAAUGCCGCGUGAGUGAUGAAGGCCUUAGGGUUGUAAAGCUCUUUUACCAGGGAUGAUAAUGACAGUACCUGGAGAAUAAGCACCGGCUAACUCCGUG